RNAcentral lists this transfer RNA (69 nucleotides) under Heterocephalus glaber (naked mole-rat). It matches the Rfam family "tRNA". Rfam says of the family: Transfer RNA (tRNA) molecules are approximately 80 nucleotides in length. Their secondary structure includes four short double-helical elements and three loops (D, anti-codon, and T loops). Lineage: Eukaryota; Metazoa; Chordata; Mammalia; Rodentia; Bathyergidae. The record is from Rfam by way of RNAcentral.
GGGGAUGUAGCUCAGUGGUAGAGCACAUGCCUAGUAUGCACAGGGAUCUGAGUUUGAUCCCCAGCACCA